This 72-nucleotide transfer RNA is filed under the name Chrysemys picta bellii (western painted turtle). RNAcentral's name for it is "tRNA-Gly (TCC) (tRNA-Gly-TCC-16-1)". It matches the Rfam family "tRNA". From Rfam's summary of the family: Transfer RNA (tRNA) molecules are approximately 80 nucleotides in length. Their secondary structure includes four short double-helical elements and three loops (D, anti-codon, and T loops). The record is from Rfam by way of RNAcentral. Lineage: Eukaryota; Metazoa; Chordata; Testudines; Emydidae.
GCAUUGGUGGUAUAGUGGUGAGCAUAGCUGCCUUCCAAGCAGUUGUCCUGGGUUUGAUUCCCAGCCAAGACA